UAAGGAAUAUUGGACAAUGGAGGCAACUCUGAUCCAGCCAUGCCGCGUGAAGGAAUAAGGCCCUAUGGGUUGUAAACUUCUUUUAGACGGGACAAAACCCCUUUACGUGUAAAGGGUUGAUGGUACUGUCAGAAUAAGCAUCGGCUAACUUCGUGCCAGCAGCCGCGGUAAUACGAAGGAUGCAAGCGUUAUCCGGAAUUAUUGGGUUUAAAGGUUGCGUAUGCGGACUAAUAAGUCAGUGGUGAAAGCCUGCAGCUUAACUGCAGAAUUGGCAUUGAUACUGUUAGUCUUGAGUACGGUUGAGGUAGGCGGAAUGUGUCAUGUAGCGGUGAAAUGCUUGGAUAUGACACAGAACACCUAUUGCGAAUGCAGCUUGCGAAGCCGUAACUGACGCUGAGGCACGAAAGCGUUGGGAGCAAACA
This 422-nucleotide ribosomal RNA is filed under the name uncultured bacterium. Its description in RNAcentral is "bacterial SSU rRNA". It matches the Rfam family "Bacterial small subunit ribosomal RNA", at positions 355 to 774 of the family's 1533-position model. The record is from RNAcentral.